Long non-coding RNA from Bactrocera dorsalis (oriental fruit fly), 1282 nucleotides. RefSeq lists it as uncharacterized. NCBI's taxonomy places the organism in Eukaryota, Metazoa, Arthropoda, Insecta, Diptera, Tephritidae. The record is from RefSeq and is a predicted model, not a curated record. The transcript is spliced from 3 exons.
CGCUUGAGUGCAGUGUGCCAUUGCACCUACAUACCUCCGGCGGCGGGGCUUAUUCAUGCCUAAUGGGUGAAUAAUUUGUGUUUAAUUUUUAUUAAUCUGGAUUAAGGUGACUUGCUUCAGAUAGUGCCGAAUUCUUCAAAUAAAAGAAUUUCAAAUCAUGUUAAAAGUGAAUUCAUUAUAAUAUCGAAUUUUGAGUACUCAGACAAUGGUGUGAAGUGUCAAGUGAGCGCUUAAGGUUUACUUCGCAUCUCUUGCCUUAUACAUAGGCUGCUACAUAUAUAUAUUUCUGGACUAGGCAACACUAAAUGUUGCCAGGUGCAAUCUGACAUCUCCAUUGGAAAGUUUGAUAUUUUUUAGCAUAACAUCACUCAGAACGUUUUGUCAUUUAUUCGUGAAUUGUUUUAUUUACAGGGAAUUAAAAAAUUCAUCUCAACAUUCGACAUGGAUUAUCACGACAUGAGUGCAUCGAUGAACUAAAAUCUUUGUAUAGAUAUGAAGCACCAUCCUAUAGCACUUUGAAAAACUGGUACAACGAAUUCAAUCGUGGCCGACGCUCGCUGAAAGACGAUGUAACAUACCUUCAGAUAGAGGCAUGCCUAUGCAUUUCUUCCACCAGCAUACAUUCGAUAUUGCAUGAACACCUGACCGUAAAAAGGUUUGUUCUCGUUGGAUCUCGCACAAUUUGACAAUCGCUCAAAAAAAGGCUCGUGUGAAUUGGUGUAAAGAAAUGCUGAAAAAAUACGAUCGCGGUGCUUCAAAAGACGUUAAUAAGAUCGUCACAGAUGACGAAUCAUGGAUCUAUGCGUAUGAGCCUGAAACAAAACAGCAAUCGACCGUGUGGGUCUUCUAAGACGAGCCAAAUCCAACGAAAAAAAAAAAAACAUUUUCGUUGAUAAAUAUGCCUAUUUUCAUUAUUAGGCCAGAAAUAUAUAUAGCAGCCCUCGUAAGUAGCAUGAGAAACGACUAUUGAUAUCUAGGCAUAUGCAUACGCUGUUGUAUACUUUUAUAUCUGCUGUAUCAAUACACUCUUAAGGAGAUAUUCCUAUAUAGAAAGUUGCCAAUACAAGGGUGGAAACAUCUCAACUAGUGAAUUUGGCGGCUGAAACAGUAUUUUUGCGGACAGUUCUUCUUCAUUACUUUCAUUUGCAAGAAACCUAAGCCGAAAGUCAUCACAUUUUAGGAUGGAUAUCCUUAGACUGAACGAACAUGGCAAAAGUAGUUUCACGCAUUGAAAAUGGUGAUUUUGACUUGCAGAAGGAAGAGCAAAAGGGAUCCAAAAACA